GACGGUCAUAAUAUCAGACAGUCGUCAUAUAUUUAAUCCUACCCAGAUAUGUUUAAUUUAAUUUACCUUUAAUUAAAAUAAAUUAAAAUUUUGGGAAUGUUAAAACUAUAUGUUGGAAAAAAAAUAUAACUAAAAAUAAAUAAAAUUUAAAAAUGCUUAAAUCAAUAACUAAAAAUAAAAAAUUUGAUAAAAUUCAUAAGCAC
This 203-nucleotide long non-coding RNA is filed under the name Gossypium raimondii (Peruvian cotton). RNAcentral describes it as "long non-coding RNA (GRAI_LNC003262)". The record is from RNAcentral. Lineage: Eukaryota; Viridiplantae; Streptophyta; Magnoliopsida; Malvales; Malvaceae.